GACGAACGCUGGCGGCGUGCCUAAUACAUGCAAGUCGAACGCAGUGGGGACGGGUGAGUAACACGUGGGUAACCUCCCAUCAGAGGGGAUAACACUUGGAAACAGGUGCUAAACCGAUACUGAUGGAUGGACCCGCGGUGCAUUAGCUAGUUGGUGAGGUAACGGCUCACCAAGGCCACGAUGCAUAGCCCACCUGAGGUGGGUAUUGGCCACACUGGGACGAGAACCCGGCCCAGACUCCUACGGGUGGCAGCAGUAGGGAAUCUUCGGCAAUGGACGGAAGUCUGGCCGAGCAACGCCGCGUGGGUAAAGUAGGUUUUCGGAACGUAAAACUCUGUUGUUAGAUGAACGGGAUCUAACCAGAAAGCCACGGCUAACUACGUGCCAGCAGCCGCGGUAAUUC
This 403-nucleotide ribosomal RNA is filed under the name uncultured bacterium. Its description in RNAcentral is "partial 16S ribosomal RNA". It matches the Rfam family "Bacterial small subunit ribosomal RNA", at positions 28 to 526 of the family's 1533-position model. The record is from RNAcentral.